ACCUAGCUGGCUCAGUUGGUAGAGCAUGCUACUCUUUAUCUCAUGGUUGUGGGUUCGAGCCCCACGUUGGGCA
Molecule: transfer RNA, 73 nt
Filed under: Felis catus (domestic cat)
Lineage: Eukaryota; Metazoa; Chordata; Mammalia; Carnivora; Felidae
Also listed under: 5 other names
Rfam family: tRNA
About the family: Transfer RNA (tRNA) molecules are approximately 80 nucleotides in length. Their secondary structure includes four short double-helical elements and three loops (D, anti-codon, and T loops).
Source: Rfam by way of RNAcentral